This 451-nucleotide ribosomal RNA is filed under the name uncultured bacterium. RNAcentral describes it as "partial 16S ribosomal RNA". It matches the Rfam family "Bacterial small subunit ribosomal RNA", at positions 28 to 507 of the family's 1533-position model. The record is from RNAcentral.
GAUGAACGCUGGCGGCGUGCCUAACACAUGCAAGUCGAGCGGCAGCGAGGGGUGCUUGCACCCUGUCGGCGAGCGGCGGACGGCUGAGUAACGCGUGGGAACGUGCCCCAAAGUGAGGAAUAACUGCCCGAAAGGGUAGCUAAUACCGCAUAUUAUCUUCGGAUCAAAGGAUUUAUCCGCUUUGGGAGCGGCUCGCGUCGGAUUAGGUGGUUGGUGAGGUAAUGGCUCACCAAGCCGACGACCCGUAGCUGGUCUGAGAGGAUGACCAGCCAGACUGGAACUGAGACACGGUCCAGACUCCUACGGGGAGCAGCAGUGAGGAAUCUUCCACAAUGGGCGAAAGCCUAGUGGAGCAACGCCGCGUGCAGGACGAAGGCCUUCGGGUUGUAAACUGCUUUUAUAAGUGAGGAAUAUGACGGUAACUUAUGAAUAAGGAUCGGCUAACUACGUG